Molecule: long non-coding RNA, 415 nt
Filed under: Bos taurus (domestic cattle)
Lineage: Eukaryota; Metazoa; Chordata; Mammalia; Artiodactyla; Bovidae
Description: long non-coding RNA NONBTAT004855
Source: RNAcentral
UGUUUUCACACAGUUUCAAAUUUUGGGUGCCAGGGUGAGGUGUGUUCAGUGUGUGUUCUUGGUUGAUAAUUUACAAAUCUAUUAAUUAGAUCCUUAGCUUAACAUACAGCUUCUUUAUGAUUUUGCAAAACUGCGAUCAUAUCCACAUACAAAGUAUAUUACUUAACUUAAAAUGCUAUUGGUGGUCUUUGAAGAAUGCAUCUGAGUUUCUUUCUGAACACUUUUACUUAUUUCAAACAUGCUUAUAAUUUGAAAUGAUGUCUAUCUAUCUUCAAGGGCAAUGUUAAAGAUAUAUAGUCCAUGCAAAAUUUUCUACAUUUUAAGGUUAAUGACAAAGCCUUAAGCUACAUUAAAAGUAAAUGCAUUAUAUUUCCAGAGUUGGUAAUAUAUUCAUGAAAAAAAUCUAAUUUAAUGG